AUGGCUUUUUCUGCGGAAGGAUCGGGAUCAAAGGGGCUGGUGGAUGAAGAUCCAAGCAAGCUCCUGGAACGAUUGCAUUUGCAGGAUGACGAAAUUGACAAACUAAUCUGAGAAGAUGAAGUUGAUACGACCAAGGAGAAGCCCAAGUGGCUAGCCUUAGUGAAACUGCUGACGGAGAAAAGCUUCAGUCAGAGUGCGCUGAUAGGAGACAUGCGAGCGGCAUGGAACCCUGCUCAGGAGGUAAUCUGGAGGAGGAUAAAUCCAAACCUAUUCUCGAUUCAGUUCAAUUGUUUGGCGGAUUGGAAUAAGGCUAUGCAUCAAGGACCUUGGGACUUCAAAGGUUGUGCCCUCUUGUUGACUGAAUAUGAUGGCUUUACAUAA
This 381-nucleotide ribosomal RNA is filed under the name Triticum aestivum (bread wheat). RNAcentral's name for it is "partial small subunit ribosomal RNA". The record is from RNAcentral. Lineage: Eukaryota; Viridiplantae; Streptophyta; Magnoliopsida; Poales; Poaceae.